This 311-nucleotide ribosomal RNA is filed under the name uncultured bacterium. RNAcentral describes it as "bacterial SSU rRNA". It matches the Rfam family "Bacterial small subunit ribosomal RNA", at positions 28 to 334 of the family's 1533-position model. The record is from RNAcentral.
GACGAACGCUGGCGGCGUGCCUAAUACAUGCAAGUAGAACGCUGAGGACUGGUGCUUGCACUGGUCUAAGGAGUUGCGAACGGGUGAGUAACGCGUAGGUAACCUACCUCAUAGCGGGGGAUAACUAUUGGAAACGACUGCUAAUACCGCAUAACGUGCUCUAAGGGCAUCCUUGGUGUACCAAAGAUUUAUCGCUGAUAGAUGGGCUCGCGUCUGAUUAGAUAGUUGGUGGGGUAACGGCCUACCAAGUCGACGAUCAGUAGCCGGACUGAGAGGUUGAACGGCCACAUUGGGACUGAGACACGGCCCAG